RNAcentral lists this ribosomal RNA (1345 nucleotides) under uncultured bacterium. RNAcentral describes it as "bacterial SSU rRNA". It matches the Rfam family "Bacterial small subunit ribosomal RNA", at positions 28 to 1381 of the family's 1533-position model. The record is from RNAcentral.
GACGAACGCUGGCGGCGUGCUUAACACAUGCAAGUCGAACGAUGAAGCGGUGCUUGCACCGUGGAUUAGUGGCGAACGGGUGAGUAAUACGUGAGUGACCUACCUUUGACUCUGGGAUAAGCCUGGGAAACUGGGUCUAAUACCGGAUACGACCAAUCUCUGCAUGGGGUGUUGGUGGAAAGCGUUAUGGAGUGGUUUUAGAUGGGCUCACGGCCUAUCAGCUUGUUGGUGAGGUAAUGGCUUACCAAGGCGACGACGGGUAGCCGGCCUGAGAGGGUGACCGGCCACACUGGGACUGAGACACGGCCCAGACUCCUACGGGAGGCAGCAGUGGGGAAUAUUGCACAAUGGGCGCAAGCCUGAUGCAGCGACGCCGCGUGAGGGAUGACGGCCUUCGGGUUGUAAACCUCUGUUGGCAUCGAAGAAGCGAAAGUGACGGUAGGUGCAGAGAAAGCGCCGGCUAACUACGUGCCAGCAGCCGCGGUAAUACGUAGGGCGCGAGCGUUGUCCGGAAUUAUUGGGCGUAAAGAGCUUGUAGGCGGUUGGUCGCGUCUGCUGUGAAGGCCGGGGCUUAACUCCGGUUUUGCAGUGGGUACGGGCUAACUAGAGUGCAGUAGGGGAGACUGGAAUUCCUGGUGUAGCGGUGGAAUGCACAGAUAUCAGGAGGAGCACCGAUGGCGAAGGCAGGUCUCUGGGCUGUAACUGACGCUGAGAAGCGAAAGCAUGGGGAGCGAACAGGAUUAGAUACCCUGGUAGUCCAUGCCGUAAACGUUGGGCACUAGGUGUGGGGGACAUUCCACGUUUUCCGCGCCGUAGCUAACGCAUUAAGUGCCCCGCCUGGGGAGUACGGCCGCAAGGCUAAAACUCAAAGGAAUUGACGGGGGCCCGCACAAGCGGCGGAGCAUACGGAUUAAUUCGAUGCAACGCGAAGAACCUUACCAAGGCUUGACAUGCAUUAGAUCGCGUCAGAGAUGGCGUUUCCCUUCGGGGCUGGUGUACAGGUGGUGCAUGGUUGUCGUCAGCUCGUGUCGUGAGAUGUCGGGUUAAGUCCCGCAACGAGCGCAACCCUCGUUCUAUGUUGCCAGCGGUUCGGCCGGGGACUCAUAGGAGACUGCCGGGGUUAACUCGGAGGAAGGUGGGGAUGACGUCAAAUCAUCAUGCCCCUUAUGUCUUGGGCUUCACGCAUGCUACAAUGGCCGGUACAGAGGGUUGCGAUACUGUGAGGUGGAGCUAAUCCCUUAAAGCCGGUCUCAGUUCGGAUUGGGGUCUGCAACUCGACCCCAUGAAGUCGGAGUCGCUAGUAAUCGCAGAUCAGCAACGCUGCGGUGAAUACGUUCCCGGGCCU